UGCCGGAUGCUCCGGUUGGAUGCAUGUCCUUCCGGGAAAGGUUCCAUCGGUAUGGGAUGGGGUCGCGUCCUAUCAGCUUGAUGGCGGGGUAACGGCCCACCAUGGCUUCGACGGGUAGCCGGCCUGAGAGGGCGACCGGCCACAUUGGGACUGAGAUACGGCCCAGACUCCUACGGGAGGCAGCAGUGGGGAAUAUUGCACAAUGGGCGCAAGCCUGAUGCAGCGACGCCGCGUGCGGGAUGGAGGCCUUCGGGUUGUAAACCGCUUUUGAUCGGGAGCAAGCCCUUCGGGGUGAGUGUACCUUUCGAAUAAGCACCGGCUAACUACGUGCCAGCAGCCGCGGUAAUACGUAGGGUGCAAGCGUUAUCCGGAAUUAUUGGGCGUAAAGGGCUCGUAGGCGGUUCGUCGCGUCCGGUGUGAAAGCCCAUCGCUUAACGGUGGGUCUGCGCCGGGUACGGGCGGGCUGGAGUGCGGUAGGGGAGACUGGAAUUCCCGGUGUAACGGUGGAAUGUG
RNAcentral lists this ribosomal RNA (513 nucleotides) under Bifidobacterium dentium. RNAcentral describes it as "bacterial SSU rRNA". It matches the Rfam family "Bacterial small subunit ribosomal RNA", at positions 167 to 690 of the family's 1533-position model. Lineage: Bacteria; Bacillati; Actinomycetota; Actinomycetes; Bifidobacteriales; Bifidobacteriaceae. The record is from RNAcentral.